AUAAUUUAUCUGCGUGUAUAGCCUCAAGCAUUUUCCUGCCUACUCCCUGCAGCUCAGAAGUGGUAAAUGAGUUCACCAAAAAGGUUUCUAUUGUACAAUUUCUCAUUGAAAACUGCCUCAGCAUAUUUGGAGAAGACAUCACUUCCCUCUUGGAGAAGAGCUCAAUGACUUGUGACAACAGUGAUGCUUCAGGUACCUUGAAAAAUUCAGUUGGUUUUGAUGAGAAACAGUGAGUGGGGAUGCCAGGAGUCAUGAGAGAUGCUUAGGCAGUGGCUGUCCUGGAGUCCAGGGCAAGCCCCAAGCACAAUGAUGCAGGACCCAGGACUCCAUCUGCUCAUUCUUCAUAAGGUUGGCUCACAGGUCAUCUGCUGAGAAGGUCACCUGCUCCUCCUUCACUGUGCUCACUGAAUGAGGACAUUCCAAGAUCCCAGCUCCUCCCAUUUGAACUUUCCUCUUCCUAAUCCCAUGCAUCUAUGUUUGAGAAAAUAUUCCCACAUGAUUUUCUAUCUUCCCAUUUCUUCCAUGUUGUAUUACUUUAUUAUUAUUAAUAAUAAAUGCACAUAUUGUGUAUAUGCA
This is a long non-coding RNA of Homo sapiens (human), 576 nucleotides long. RefSeq lists it as uncharacterized. The transcript is spliced from 2 exons. The record is from RefSeq and is a predicted model, not a curated record. NCBI's taxonomy places the organism in Eukaryota, Metazoa, Chordata, Mammalia, Primates, Hominidae.